UACGAAGGGGGCUAGCGUUGCUCGGAAUCACUGGGCGUAAAGCGCACGUAGGCGGACUCUUAAGUCAGGGGUGAAAUCCUGGAGCUCAACUCCAGAACUGCCUUUGAUACUGGGAGUCUUGAGUUCGGGAGAGGUGAGUGGAACUGCGAGUGUAGAGGUGAAAUUCGUAGAUAUUCGCACGAACACCAGUGGCGAAGGCGGCUCACUGGCCCGAUACUGACGCUGAGGUGCGAAAGCGUGGGGAGCAAACAGG
Molecule: ribosomal RNA, 253 nt
Filed under: uncultured bacterium
Lineage: Bacteria
Description: partial 16S ribosomal RNA
Rfam family: Bacterial small subunit ribosomal RNA
Source: RNAcentral